CUGGUUGAUCCUGCCAGUAGGUGAUAUGCUGCUCUCAAGAUUAAGCCAUGCAUGUCUCAGCCUCAGGUGCCAGAUAACUUCGCUGCGAAUGGGCUCAUUAAAAACGCUAUAAUUAAUUUGCUCGUCCUGCCUUAGUUGGAUAACUGUGGCAAUUCCAGAGCUAAUACAUGGCUGCAGGUAUAAUUACAUUGUAAUACCGUGCUUAUUCGGCGCAGAAUUAACCCGAAUUUUCGGUGGAAGGGUGAUUCAUAAAAGACUUACUGAGCGAAAGGUACUAGCCGUCGCCAGUUCAUUCAGAUAUCUGACCUAUCAGCUUUCGACGGUUGAGGUCGUGGCCUAUCGUGGCGUUGACGGGUGACGGAGGAUUAGGGUUUGAUUCCGGAGAGGAGCCCGAGAAACUGCUACCACAUCCAAGGA
Molecule: ribosomal RNA, 417 nt
Filed under: uncultured eukaryote
Lineage: Eukaryota
Description: bacterial SSU rRNA
Rfam family: Eukaryotic small subunit ribosomal RNA
Source: RNAcentral